AUACAGAGGGUGCGAGCGUUAAUCGGAAUUACUGGGCGUAAAGCGCGCGUAGGCGGUUAUUUAAGUCAGAUGUGAAAUCCCUGGGCUCAACCUAGGAACUGCAUCUGAAACUGGGUAACUAGAGUUUAGGAGAGGGGAGUAGAAUUUCGGGUGUAGCGGUGAAAUGCAUAGAGAUCCGAAGGAAUACCAGUGGCGAAGGCGACUCCCUGGCCUAGAACUGACGCUGAGGUGCGAAAGCGUGGGUAGCAAACGGGAUUAGAAACCCCAGUAGUCC
Molecule: ribosomal RNA, 274 nt
Filed under: uncultured bacterium
Lineage: Bacteria
Description: partial 16S ribosomal RNA
Rfam family: Bacterial small subunit ribosomal RNA
Source: RNAcentral